UACAGAGGUGGCAAGCGUUGUUCGGAAUUACUGGGCGUAAAGCGCACGUAGGUGGCGACGUAAGUCGGGUGUGAAAGCCCCGGGCUCAACCUGGGAAUUGCAUUCGAGACUGCAUUGCUGGAGUACGGAAGAGGAAGGCGGAAUUCCCGGUGUAGCGGUGAAAUGCGUAGAUAUCGGGAGGAACAUCAGUGGCGAAGGCGGCCUUCUGGUCCAGUACUGACACUCAAGUGCGAAAGCGUGGGGAGCAAACAGG
This 253-nucleotide ribosomal RNA is filed under the name uncultured bacterium. Its description in RNAcentral is "partial 16S ribosomal RNA". It matches the Rfam family "Bacterial small subunit ribosomal RNA", at positions 524 to 776 of the family's 1533-position model. The record is from RNAcentral.